Molecule: ribosomal RNA, 494 nt
Filed under: uncultured bacterium
Lineage: Bacteria
Description: partial 16S ribosomal RNA
Rfam family: Bacterial small subunit ribosomal RNA
Source: RNAcentral
GACGAACGCUGGCGGCGUGCUUAACACAUGCAAGUCGAACGGUGAAGCGCCUUCCUUUUUGGUGGGUGUGGAUGAGUGGCGAACGGGUGAGUAACACGUGAGUAACCUGCCCCCUUCUUCUGGAUAACCGCAUGAAAGUGUGGCUAAUACGGGAUAUUCUGGGUCUGUCGCAUGAUGGGUCUGGGAAAGAUAUUGUUUCGGUGGGGGAUGGGCUCGCGGCCUAUCAGCUUGUUGGUGGGGUGAUGGCCUACCAAGGCGGUGACGGGUAGCCGGCCUGAGAGGGUGGGCGGUCACACUGGGGCUGAGACACGGCCCAGACUCCUACGGGAGGCAGCAGUGAGGAAUAUUGCACAAUGGGCGCAAGCCUGAUGCAGCGACGCCGCGUGAGGGAUGGAGGCCGUCGGGUUGUGAACCUCUUUCGCCAGUGAAGCAGGCCUGCCUCGUUUGUGGGUGGGUUGACGGUAGCUGGAUAAGAAGCGCCGGCUAACUACGUG